RNAcentral lists this ribosomal RNA (488 nucleotides) under uncultured bacterium. RNAcentral describes it as "partial 16S ribosomal RNA". It matches the Rfam family "Bacterial small subunit ribosomal RNA", at positions 28 to 507 of the family's 1533-position model. The record is from RNAcentral.
GACGAACGCUGGCGGCGUGCUUAACACAUGCAAGUCGAACGGAAAGGCCUUGCUUUUGUGGGGUGCUCGAGUGGCGAACGGGUGGGUAACACGUGAGUACCCUGCCCUUGACUUUGGGAUAACUUCCGGAAACUGGGGCUAAUACCGGCUAGGUGCUCCUGCUGCAUGGUGGGGGGUGGAAAGUUUCGGCGGUUGGGGAUGGACUCCCGGCUUAUUAGCUUGUUGGUGGGGUAGUGGCCUACCAAGGCGUCGACGGGUAGCCGGUCUGAGAGGGUGAUAGGCCACACUGGAAGUGAGACACGGUCAAGACUACUACGGGAGGCACCAGUGGGGAAUGUUAGGCAAUGGGCGGAAGCCUGACACAGCCAUACCGAGUGGGUGAAGAAGGCCUUCGGGUCGUAAAGACCUUUUGUUGGGAAAGAACAGCAGCCGCUUAAUACGAAGCUGUUCUGACGGUACCGAAAGAAUAAGCACCGGCUAACUACGUG